RNAcentral lists this transfer RNA (72 nucleotides) under Myrmeleon immanis. RNAcentral describes it as "tRNA-Val". It matches the Rfam family "tRNA". From Rfam's summary of the family: Transfer RNA (tRNA) molecules are approximately 80 nucleotides in length. Their secondary structure includes four short double-helical elements and three loops (D, anti-codon, and T loops). The record is from RNAcentral. Lineage: Eukaryota; Metazoa; Arthropoda; Insecta; Neuroptera; Myrmeleontidae.
CAAACUAGAGCUUGAAUAGUUAAGCAUUUCAUUUACAUUGAAUAGUUAUCUGUGCAAUUCAGAUUAGUUUGA